UGGGGAAUAUUGCACAAUGGGGGAAACCCUGAUGCAGCGACGCCGCGUGGAGGAAGAAGGCCCUCGGGUUGUAAACUCCUGUCUUUGGGGACGAUAAUGACGGUACCCAAGGAGGAAGCCACGGCUAACUACGUGCC
RNAcentral lists this ribosomal RNA (137 nucleotides) under uncultured bacterium. Its description in RNAcentral is "partial 16S ribosomal RNA". It matches the Rfam family "Bacterial small subunit ribosomal RNA", at positions 355 to 509 of the family's 1533-position model. The record is from RNAcentral.